UGGAGUCGUCGCUCCCGUGUCGCCAGACAUGUGACGUGCGCGCCACGCCGACGGGCGCGGGUGGUCGAGACGCAGAGCAAACAGAUCGACGGGCAGUCGAAGGUGGGCAAAGAGCGACCGCCGGUCGGGUCCGCCCAAGAGACCCACGCGACUAGCAAACCGUCCGCGGCCCACGUAAAAGUCAAACCGACGCGCGCGGAUGGCGGCCGUGGCGCCGUCGCCCGCCGGAUCCUCCACGGGAAUGACCACGUCAGAGCAGUAGAGUUGCGCGCGCUUGGCCGGCAGCGAACACACGAGAUCGGCGGCGGGCACGCGCAACCGCGCCUCGCGCAGGUCGUGCGUCGACACGGUGAGCGUGCGUCGCGUCGUGCUCACUGCCACCCACACGGCCUGGCCGGCGAUGCACACGGGCAGUUGCCACGUGCGCUUGCGUCGCGCCAGCGGCACCACGAGGCCGUCGGCAUUGAAUAGUGGUGGCGGCGGCGAUGGUGAUUCUCGGGGGCGCGCGUCGCCGUGCCGGUGGUCUUUGUUGUGCUCUAUCGGAGGCGGCGCCAUCACGGGCGUCUUGCGCGGUGGGCUUGGUUUGACGACCGGCGGCGGCAUCGCGGUGCCGUUGGAGGAGAUGUCACGCGGGAGUGCAUGGCGUGGCGGUUGCGACGCCGGCAGCGAUGCCUCGAUUGAUCGUCGCCCCGAGUGCCGCGACCCUCUCGAUGGCCGACCGCGCACCGGAAGUGCGCGCAGCGCCGGCGGGCCGACGGGCGACGGCCGGGCAAACUCGGCCGCGGCCACAAUCGGGUCGUGCAGCCAACGGUUGUCGACAGGUGCGAGGCCGUUGGUAGGCACGAGUGCAACGUCGCGUCUGGGGUCGUCGCCGCCACGGGCGUUGCGAUCAUCGCCAUUGUCAUCAUGGUUGUUGUUGUGGUCGCCAUAGGGGUCGCCAUAGACAUCAGCCUCGAUGCGCCCGUGGUCCCUGCCGUCUCCAUCGCCAUAAUAGUCAUAAUCGUGGUCAAAGAGGCCCGGCGGCGGCAGGGCCGAUGCGUCGGCAAGGCGCGACGGUAUGCCGCUGAAUACCAUGGUCGACGACGACGAGGGUGUUGACGGCAAGAGGAUGUCGGUUUUGGAUGAAUCGUCCUCGUCCACGUGUGCGCCGACAUCAUUCUUGAUAUAACGGUCGUCAUAGUCGUGCGCCCCAUAGGUGGCAUCAUUGGUGGCGUCAUAGGCCUGCUGCGUAUAUGCGUGGCCGCCAAAUGGCGUGUCGCACAGGGCAUCGCUGGUCGUGGCAUCAUGACGGCCGCGUGUGGCGUCUGUGCUUGUGGUGGUCGUGGUCGUGCCGGCUCUGCCGUGGGCGCCGCGGUAGGUCGCAGGCACCUCGUCGAGCGCCCAGAUGUUGGCGGGCGCGCCGGGAUCGCUUUCGCGGCGUGCGCGUUGGCGCCAUGGAUCUGAAUAUGCACGCACGCGCCCAUUGCCGCAAGGCCACCUUUAGUAGGUCUGACUGAACUCCCAGGAAAAAAACACUGAAAGAGACAAAAAAUAAAAGAAAAUACAUAAAA
RNAcentral lists this long non-coding RNA (1550 nucleotides) under Pandoravirus celtis. RNAcentral describes it as "hypothetical ncRNA". The record is from RNAcentral.